Molecule: non-coding RNA, 228 nt
Organism: Pelobates cultripes (western spadefoot toad)
Lineage: Eukaryota; Metazoa; Chordata; Amphibia; Anura; Pelobatidae
Source: the annotation of a GenBank genome assembly
CAUGUGUGAGUGUUAGUGUGUGAGUGUUAGUGUGUGAGUGUUAGUGUGAGGGUUAGAGUGUGUGUGUCUGCUAGUGAGUGUUAGUGUUAGAGUGAGUGUUAGUGUGUGUGUGUGUCUGCUAGUGAGUGUUAGUGUGAGUGUUAGAGUGAGAGUGUGUGUGUCUGCUAGUUAGUGUGAGUGUUAGUGUGAGUGUUAGUGUGUGUGAGUGUUAGAGUGAGCGUUAGUGUG